CAAGUCGAGCGGUAGCACAGAGAGCUUGCUCUCGGGUGACGAGCGGCGGACGGGUGAGUAAUGUCUGGGAAACUGCCUGAUGGAGGGGGAUAACUACUGGAAACGGUAGCUAAUACCGCAUAAUGUCGCAAGACCAAAGAGGGGGACCUUCGGGCCUCUUGCCAUCAGAUGUGCCCAGAUGGGAUUAGCUAGUAGGUGGGGUAACGGCUCACCUAGGCGACGAUCCCUAGCUGGUCUGAGAGGAUGACCAGCCACACUGGAACUGAGACACGGUCCAGACUCCUACGGGAGGCAGCAGUGGGGAAUAUUGCACAAUGGGCGCAAGCCUGAUGCAGCCAUGCCGCGUGUAUGAAGAAGGCCUUCGGGUUGUAAAGUACUUUCAGCGGGGAGGAAGGUGCUGAGGUUAAUAACCUCAGCAAUUGACGUUACCCGCAGAAGAAGCACCGGCUAACUCCGUGCCAGCAGCCGCGGUAAUACGGAGGGUGCAAGCGUUAAUCGGAAUUACUGGGCGUAAAGCGCACGCAGGCGGUCUGUCAAGUCGGAUGUGAAAUCCCCGGGCUCAACCUGGGAACUGCAUUCGAAACUGGCAGGCUAGAGUCUUGUAGAGGGGGGUAGAAUUCCAGGUGUAGCGGUGAAAUGCGUAGAGAUCUGGAGGAAUACCGGUGGCGAAGGCGGCCCCCUGGACAAAGACUGACGCUCAGUGCGAAAGCGUGGGGAGCAAACAGGAUUAGAUACCCUGGUAGUCCACGCCGUAAACGAUGUCGACUUGGAGGUUGUUCCCUUGAGGAGUGGCUUCCGGAGCUAACGCGUUAAGUCGACCGCCUGGGGAGUACGGCCGCAAGGUUAAAACUCAAAUGAAUUGACGGGGGCCCGCACAAGCGGUGGAGCAUGUGGUUUAAUUCGAUGCAACGCGAAGAACCUUACCUACUCUUGACAUCCAGAGAACUUUCCAGAGAUGGAUUGGUGCCUUCGGGAACUCUGAGACAGGUGCUGCAUGGCUGUCGUCAGCUCGUGUUGUGAAAUGUUGGGUUAAGUCCCGCAACGAGCGCAACCCUUAUCCUUUGUUGCCAGCGGUCCGGCCGGGAACUCAAAGGAGACUGCCAGUGAUAAACUGGAGGAAGGUGGGGAUGACGUCAAGUCAUCAUGGCCCUUACGAGUAGGGCUACACACGUGCUACAAUGGCGCAUACAAAGAGAAGCGACCUCGCGAGAGCAAGCGGACCUCAUAAAGUGCGUCGUAGUCCGGAUUGGAGUCUGCAACUCGACUCCAUGAAGUCGGAAUCGCUAGUAAUCGUAGAUCAGAAUGCUACGGUGAAUACGUUCCCGGGCCUUGUACACACCGCCCGUCACACCAUGGGAGUGGGUUGCAAAAGAAGUAGGUAGCUUAACCUUCGGGAGGGCGCUUA
This 1405-nucleotide ribosomal RNA is filed under the name Pantoea agglomerans. Its description in RNAcentral is "bacterial SSU rRNA". It matches the Rfam family "Bacterial small subunit ribosomal RNA". The record is from RNAcentral. Lineage: Bacteria; Pseudomonadati; Pseudomonadota; Gammaproteobacteria; Enterobacterales; Erwiniaceae.